GGAAUUACUGGGCGUAAAGGGCUCGUAGUGGUUUGUCGCGUCGUCUGUGAAAUUCCGGGGCUUAACUCCGGGCGUGCAGGCGAUACGGGCAUAACUUGAGUACUGUAGGGGUAACUGGAAUUCCUGGUGUAGCGGUGAAAUGCGCAGAUAUCAGGAGGAACACCGAUGGCGAAGGCAGGUUACUGGGCAGUUACUGACGCUGAGGAGCGAAAGCAUGGGUAGCGAACAGGAUUAGAUACCCUGGUAGUCCAUGCCGUAAACGGUGGGCGCUAGGUGUGAGGGUCUUUUCACGACUUUCGUGCCGUAGCUAACGCAUUAAGCGCCCCGCCUGGGGAGUACGGCCGCAAGGCUAAAACUCAAAGGAAUUGACGGGGGCCCGCACAAGCGGCGGAGCAUGUGGAUUAAUUCGAUGCAACGCGAAGAACCUUACCUGGGCUUGACAUACACCGGAUUGGGCUAGAGAUAGUCUUUCCCUUUGUGGCUGGUGUACAGGUGGUGCAUGGUUGUCGUCAGCUCGUGUCGUGAGAUGUUGGGUUAAGUCCCGCAACGAGCGCAACCCUUGUCUUAUGUUGCCAGCAUUUGGUUGGGGACUCAUGAGAGACUGCCGGGGUCAACUCGGAGGAAGGUGGGGAUGACGUCAAAUCAUCAUGCCCCUUAUGUCCAGGGCUUCACACAUGCUACAAUGGUCGGUACAACGCGCAGCGACACUGUGAGGUGGAGCGAAUCGCUGAAAGCCGGCCUUAGUUCGGAUUGGGGUCUGCAACUCGACCCCAUGAAGUCGGAGUCGCUAGUA
This 793-nucleotide ribosomal RNA is filed under the name uncultured bacterium. Its description in RNAcentral is "bacterial SSU rRNA". It matches the Rfam family "Bacterial small subunit ribosomal RNA", at positions 547 to 1340 of the family's 1533-position model. The record is from RNAcentral.